Molecule: ribosomal RNA, 60 nt
Filed under: Diaporthe vaccinii
Lineage: Eukaryota; Fungi; Ascomycota; Sordariomycetes; Diaporthales; Diaporthaceae
Also listed under: 10 other names
Description: partial 28S ribosomal RNA
Rfam family: Eukaryotic large subunit ribosomal RNA
Source: RNAcentral
UUUGACCUCGGAUCAGGUAGGAAUACCCGCUGAACUUAAGCAUAUCAAUAAGCGGAGGAA